AUGCUAGUCGCACGGGUUUAGACCCGUGGCAGACAGCUCAGUAACACGUGGCCAAACUACCCUACGGACCAGUAUAACCUCGGGAAACUGAGGCUAAUGCCGGGACCGUGAAACGCUCCGGCGCCACAGGAUGCGGCUGCGGCCGAUUAGGUAGACGGUGGGGUAACGGCCCACCGUGCCCAUAAUCGGUACGGGUCAUGGAAGUGAGUGCCCGGAGACGGUAUCUGAGACAAGAUACCGGGCCCUACGGGGCGCAGCAGGCGCGAAACCUUUACACUGCACGACAGUGCGAUAAGGGGACUCCGAGUGCGAGGGCAUAUAGCCCUCGCUUUUCUGUACCGUAGGGUGGUACAGGAACAAGUGCUGGGCAAGACCGGUGCCAGCCGCCGCGGUAAUACCGGCAGCACGAGUGAUGGCCGAUUUUAUUGGGCCUAAAGCGUCCGUAGCUGGCCGCACAAGUCCGUCGGGAAAUCGACGCGCUCAACGCGUCGGCGUCCGGCGGAAACUGUUCGGCUUGGGGCCGGAAGACCCGAGGGGUACGUCCGGGGUAGGAGUGAAAUCCCGUAAUCCUGGACGGACCACCGGUGGCGAAAGCGCCUCGGGAAGACGGACCCGACAGUGAGGGACGAAAGCUGGGGUCUCGAACCGGAUUAGAUACCCGGGUAGUCCCAGCUGUAAACGAUGCUCGCUAGGUGUGGCG
RNAcentral lists this ribosomal RNA (700 nucleotides) under uncultured Halapricum sp. RNAcentral describes it as "bacterial SSU rRNA". It matches the Rfam family "Archaeal small subunit ribosomal RNA", at positions 51 to 778 of the family's 1478-position model. Lineage: Archaea; Methanobacteriati; Methanobacteriota; Halobacteria; Halobacteriales; Haloarculaceae. The record is from RNAcentral.